AUGAAAAAACUCCAUGCAGAUGGGCUUUUGGAAUCACUUGAUUAUGAAUCAUUUGAUACUUGCGAACCAUGCCUCAUUGGCAAGAUGACUAAAACUCCAUUCUCCAGAACAAUGGAGCGAGCUAAUGACUUAUUGGAAAUAAUACAUACCGAUGUAUGCGGUCCGAUGAGUGUUGAGGCUUGCAGCGGGUAUCAUUAUUUUCUGACCUUCACAGAUGAUUUGAGCAGAUAUGGGUAUAUCUACUUAAUGAAACACAAGUCUGAAACAUUUGAAAAGUUCAAAGAAUUUCAGAGUGAAAUGCAUAAUCAUCAUAACAAGAAAAUAAAAUUUCUAUGA
RNAcentral lists this ribosomal RNA (336 nucleotides) under Triticum aestivum (bread wheat). RNAcentral describes it as "partial small subunit ribosomal RNA". Lineage: Eukaryota; Viridiplantae; Streptophyta; Magnoliopsida; Poales; Poaceae. The record is from RNAcentral.